UUAGGUUGAAACAUGUGUUAAUUCUAUCUGACAGUUAUGGUGUUCAAAAUAUUUACAAGAAACAUACGAAACAAAAUCAAAAAUAUAAUAAAAGAUUUCAUUGAAAUAAAUUAUAUUAUUAUAUUAACGACUUAAACGACAUUUUGGGAACAUGGUGUUAAUACAAAACACAAAGAAAUAACAAAUGUCUGAUACAACAAACAAAGAGCAUUUUUCUCUACUUUGCAUAAGCUGAAUAAGUAACAGAACUAUACAAACUAAGAGUGCGGUAAAAGUUCAGUUCUAUUUAUCAUAAUUACGAAUCAAUCCAAAAAAUCUUGCACUGCACUCAUAACGGAAGAAUACUAAUCUAUUUAUAGAUCACUGCAGUUAAAACAACUAUCAGUUAAUAUAUUCUAGAAAUUUCUAAUGUCAACUACAAAAUAACAAAAAUAAAAAAAUUAAAUGUGCAGAAUUGACAAGUUCAAAGUUACGUACCAGGUUUUUUUUGCCAAAAUAGCUAUGACUGAUUUUGUCUAUAUCUUUUCUUAAAAGUUACGGACAUUCCAUCUAUUAUGUCAUUAGUAUUCCUGGCUGAUUCAGGCAACUCCUAGCAUAUUCUUUUUACAAUGUCGUCGGUAUUCUUAAGAAAACAUAGCAGACUCUU
Non-coding RNA from Biomphalaria pfeifferi, 646 nucleotides. The record is from the annotation of a GenBank genome assembly. NCBI's taxonomy places the organism in Eukaryota, Metazoa, Mollusca, Gastropoda, Planorbidae.